GCCAGCUUAGCUCAGUUGGUAGAGCAACGCACUCGUAACGCGUAGGUCGUAGGUUCAACUCCUAUAGCUGGCA
RNAcentral lists this transfer RNA (73 nucleotides) under Enterococcus durans. Its description in RNAcentral is "tRNA-Thr". It matches the Rfam family "tRNA". From Rfam's summary of the family: Transfer RNA (tRNA) molecules are approximately 80 nucleotides in length. Their secondary structure includes four short double-helical elements and three loops (D, anti-codon, and T loops). The record is from RNAcentral. Lineage: Bacteria; Bacillati; Bacillota; Bacilli; Lactobacillales; Enterococcaceae.